CACGUAGGGGCCAAGCGUUGUCCGGAUUUAUUGGGCGUAAAGAGCUCGUAGGCGGUUCGACAAGUCGGGUGUGAAAACUCCGGGCUCAACCCGGAGACGCCACCCGAUACUGUCGUGACUGGAGUCCGGUAGGGGAGUGGGGAAUUCCUGGUGUAGCGGUGAAAUGCGCAGAUAUCAGGAGGAACACCGGUGGCGAAGGCGCCACUCUGGGCCGGUACUGACGCUGAGGAGCGAAAGCGUGGGCAGCAAACAGG
This 254-nucleotide ribosomal RNA is filed under the name uncultured bacterium. RNAcentral describes it as "partial 16S ribosomal RNA". It matches the Rfam family "Bacterial small subunit ribosomal RNA", at positions 524 to 776 of the family's 1533-position model. The record is from RNAcentral.